CCUGCGCUGAACAUCAUCACCACCAUGAGGUGGGCACAUGACCAAUAUAUUCAUAGUUGGACAGUAUUUCCCAUCCCAUGCAUGAAGCUAGUAAAGACAUGGAGAGACACAGUCUUCACUAUAUUUGCCAGGUCAUCAUAAAGCUCCCACACACAUGGAGCUCUUCGGCAGUAUGCAAUGUAAUGUCCCAGACCAUCUUUAGUCAAGCUUCCCUUGAAAGCGAUGACUCCUCUCAAAGAGAAUGUCUUUCCUUGGAGAGCAACAGUGGGGGGAAAUUCACUCAAAGGAAACUGAGUUGUGUUUGCAAGUGGGCGAAGGCAGGGAGACUCCGGAAGGAAGAGUCCAUUUUCCACUGAAAUGUCAAGCUGAGCCAUGCCAGAGUCCAUCAGCACAGAAAUGUCAGGAGAAACAAAUGAUGGAUCUGCAUGGAGCCAUUCAGUGCAGGAAGUGAGAUAAGAAGUUCUCUUCCUUUUUUUGGGUGGAAGAAUUAGUCCCCUCCAGUUUUCAACCACGUCUUCAUCUGUUGGAGGAAUGUUUGUGGUUUCAUCGGAUUCUACAGAAUGAACAAAUCCGCAUAUUUCCUUCUAUAAAGGAAAGAUGACGAGAAAUAAAGCGAUCAACUCGAAUGGGUAAGUUCUCGUGUUUAAAAAGGCCAUGCUUUACAUUUUUAAAUUCUGCUUCAACAGUGGCUGAGCUUGCUGUGAGGUUGGUGCUUUUG
This is a long non-coding RNA of Girardinichthys multiradiatus, 718 nucleotides long. RefSeq lists it as uncharacterized. The record is from RefSeq and is a predicted model, not a curated record. The transcript has 5 exons. Lineage: Eukaryota; Metazoa; Chordata; Actinopteri; Cyprinodontiformes; Goodeidae.